GAUGAACGCUGGCGGCGUGCCUAAUACAUGCAAGUCGAGCGCCUUCACUUUGAACACUACACGGGAAUUAGAUGCUAAACCGGUCCACGGUUUACACUACACGAUCCCCGGCAAUGUAGCGAUCAGUGUGAAGGAGCGGCGGACGGGUGAGUAACGCGUGAGAAUGUACCCCAAACUGAGGGAUAAGCACCAGAAAUGGUGUCUAAUACCGCAUAUGGUCUUCGGAUUAAAGCUUCGGCGGUUUGGGAACAGCUUGCGUCUGAUUAGCUAGUUGGUAAGGUAAAGGCUUACCAAGGCGAUGAUCAGUAGCUGGUCUGAGAGGAUGAUCAGCCACACUGGAACUGAGACACGGUCCAG
Molecule: ribosomal RNA, 357 nt
Filed under: uncultured bacterium
Lineage: Bacteria
Description: bacterial SSU rRNA
Rfam family: Bacterial small subunit ribosomal RNA
Source: RNAcentral